This 259-nucleotide ribosomal RNA is filed under the name uncultured bacterium. RNAcentral describes it as "partial 16S ribosomal RNA". It matches the Rfam family "Bacterial small subunit ribosomal RNA", at positions 524 to 781 of the family's 1533-position model. The record is from RNAcentral.
UACGAAGGGGGCUAGCGUUGCUCGGAAUCACUGGGCGUAAAGCGCACGUAGGCGGAUCUUUAAGUCAGGGGUGAAAUCCUGGAGCUCAACUCCAGAACUGCCUCUGAUACUGGGGAUCUUGAGUCCGGAAGAGGUAAGUGGAACUGCGAGUGUAGAGGUGAAAUUCGUAGAUAUUCGCAAGAACACCAGUGGCGAAGGCGGCUUACUGGUCCGGUACUGACGCUGAGGUGCGAAAGCGUGGGGAGCAAACAGGGAUUAA